GAAUAUUGAAGUAAAUUUUUACAGUUAGUUUCGACCUAAAAUUAGAGAAUAAAGCUCUCCUUAUUCA
This 67-nucleotide transfer RNA is filed under the name Appolonius crassus. RNAcentral describes it as "tRNA-Arg". Lineage: Eukaryota; Metazoa; Arthropoda; Insecta; Hemiptera; Rhyparochromidae. The record is from RNAcentral.